GUCUUUGUCAUAGGUGGUUAUUUGCCCUGAUGUAUGCAGGUGGCAGAGAUUUGCUUGACAACCUUCUAAACUGGCUUAUCCCUCUUCAAGACUGAAGACAUAGAUAAGUCCAUAUCCUCAACUCUAACUCUUGAGUCAUCUUGGAUUCCAGGAAAAACAGAAGUGGUCCAUACACACACUUGUAACAAGGGAGGGAAAAAAUCCCCAACCAACAGGACAGACUACCCAUCAGAUGAGGACACUGUGAUUAACAGUGGUGGGCAGGUUACCAGUCUGUUUCAGGACCUGAGAUUAUCACAUCUUUCAAACCUCAUCAGAUAAGCUUAUUUUUGCAGUAGAUGGCAACUAACACAGAGACCCGCAACUGUUCAAGGUGCAGAGCAUAAAUGACUGUGGAGAUCGAAGCCACAAAUGGGACAUCUGGAUCAGACCUCUUCCUCCCAAGGCUUUGAGAGAAUUUCAGAAGAGGGAACAGAAGGAGCCUAACAGCCAGAGGCAGUGGGUGAUUACAAAGAAACUGUGCUUUAUGGAUACAAUAGGGCAAUUACACAAAUGAACUCAGCAGUUGUGACAGCGUGCAUAAGACGUGUGCAAAUUCAGGCUGGACAAAAUGCCAAUGUGGAGAGGGAAGGGAGACAUAAAUCUCCACCCCCAGCGGAGAAGCUACUGGGAAUUGAUAGCUUCUAGGAGAGGGAAAGUUAGUUUUCCUUGUGGGUAUGGCCCUUGCUAAGUCUAACACACGCCAAUGGAUGGCCAAACACCCCAGAGUAUAAAUAAAAGAAUGAGGGCACAGA
Long non-coding RNA from Peromyscus eremicus (cactus mouse), 794 nucleotides. RefSeq lists it as uncharacterized. The record is from RefSeq and is a predicted model, not a curated record. NCBI's taxonomy places the organism in Eukaryota, Metazoa, Chordata, Mammalia, Rodentia, Cricetidae. The transcript is spliced from 3 exons.